GGGCAGGAUGUGUGGCGUGGGCCUACGCCCACCCCACGUUCCCUUAUUCGCACUGGCGUGCUCAACGGGAACCAUCCUGCCCUGCGGGGC
Molecule: non-coding RNA, 90 nt
Filed under: Bilophila wadsworthia
Lineage: Bacteria; Pseudomonadati; Thermodesulfobacteriota; Desulfovibrionia; Desulfovibrionales; Desulfovibrionaceae
Description: traJ-II RNA
Rfam family: traJ-II RNA
Source: RNAcentral